Molecule: non-coding RNA, 85 nt
Organism: Conoideocrella luteorostrata
Lineage: Eukaryota; Fungi; Ascomycota; Sordariomycetes; Hypocreales; Clavicipitaceae
Source: the annotation of a GenBank genome assembly
GGGCGAAUGGUUUAGUGGUAUAAUACUCCCUUAGCAUGUUGUCCACAUCUGGGAGUGGUCCAGGGUUCGAUUCCCUGUUCGUCCA